GCUGGGCACAGUGGCUCAUGCCUGUGAUCCCAGUGACUUAGGAGGCUGAGGCAGGAGGAUCGUGAGUUCAGAGCCAGCCUCAGCAAUUUAGUGAGGUCCUAAGCAACUCAGUGAGACCCUGUCUCUA
RNAcentral lists this small RNA (127 nucleotides) under Marmota monax (woodchuck). The record is from RNAcentral. Lineage: Eukaryota; Metazoa; Chordata; Mammalia; Rodentia; Sciuridae.